This is a non-coding RNA of Triticum aestivum (bread wheat), 125 nucleotides long. The record is from Rfam. NCBI's taxonomy places the organism in Eukaryota, Viridiplantae, Streptophyta, Magnoliopsida, Poales, Poaceae.
GAUAUACUCCCCCCGUCCGCAAUUACUUGUCACAGAAAUGGAUGAAAAUUGAUGUAUCUAUAACUAAAAUAUGUCUAGAUACAUCAAUUUCUAUAACAAGUAUUUUUGAACGGAGGGAGUAUAAU